RNAcentral lists this unclassified non-coding RNA (419 nucleotides) under fungal sp. RNAcentral describes it as "partial internal transcribed spacer region". The stretch from base 1 to 46 matches the Rfam family "Eukaryotic small subunit ribosomal RNA", at positions 1786 to 1831 of the family's 1831-position model. Lineage: Eukaryota; Fungi. The record is from RNAcentral.
AAGUCGUAACAAGGUUUCCGUAGGUGAACCUGCGGAAGGAUCAUUAACACGUAUCCACGUAAUAUAUAACAACAUAUCAACAUUUACCACGAACCGUGCUCCCUGUUGACCCAAUCUCUUUAGCUGUCCGGUUUCCGACUAUAGUGGCUCCCCGUUCUGUCACAGGUUCGGUGUGGGAUGUCUGGUUGGACUAUCACUCCUCUGAGAGUGAGGCUAAGUAAACGGGACUCAAUAGGCUUACUAACUCUAACUGCCCGUGGAGCAAUCCAAUCCCAACCAUUUUGGGCGGCAGGAAGGACCCCAUAACCCAUUUCACCCUAUUUUACCCUAUUUGGCUAAUACUAACACGAUCUAAUAUGGAUCGGAUUAAGAUUUAUCUUAACUAAGCACAACUCUUAGCAAUGGAUAUCUUGGUUCUC